GGAGAUGGAUGAGGCUGGGCUCACUUGCAUGCACUGUGCCCCAGCUCCGAUCUGCUGCUUAGGGCAGAAGUGACCUUUCCCAGGCAGUGGGAGGGAGCUUCCCCCCACCCUGCUAUGCUGCUGCUUGGAAUUCAUCUUACAUAGCAGCCUCAUUUUUUUUUUUUUAUCCCCCCCUCCAAAGAACAGCUUGCUGCUACAGUGAUUGUUUUUUAUUAUUUUUAUUUAAUUAUUAUUUUCAGCCCAUGUUGCAGCUUCCUUAUGAUCGUUUUGUGUGUGUGUGUGUGUGUGUAUGCUUUGAACUGCAUUUUAAAUUUGCCCAGCUGGAGACAAGUCUCGAUUAGAGCUGGAACAAUAGCUCCAUUUUAUUAAUAAUGGGAAGGAUUUACGAUUCUACAGCACCUUCCUUGGAAGGCUUUCAAAACCAUUUGCAAACUCUCACAAAUGUAAGCUUUCACAGCCCUGCCUGUGAGGUGGGUAAGUAUUUCCACGGUGCCACCAAAAAUCAGGGAGAGCUGCAGUCGGUGUGUGCUCCAAUAACGGCAGAUCCGGUGGGUUUCAGGGCUGCAAAGCCGGGAGGAGGGAGGCUGGUAAAAGCUGUAACCUCAAUCUGUUUGGUGCUGUCUGUAGAUGCAGAUAUUUGUCUUUGUCUUGGGAACCAGGCUGCUAUUUCUCAGCCUGCUCUGUGCUCCUCCUUGCUUUUUGCAGAUUGAGGAUUCGGACUUGCCUGCUUGUCAGUAAACAUCUGCUUAUAGAUUAUUAUUAUUAUUAUUUUUUAAUUCAUUGCUUUUUUGUAGUCCCCAGGUGACCUCCUUUAGUGCUGGCUCCGCUGCGGUCUGACCACAGCUUUGCAUUAAGGCAGGCUGCGAGCACUAAUGUGUCUCCAUGCGAGUCCACGUGACAUUGCCCAGGGGACAGGGCCCACUGAGCUAAUGCAGAUGCUCCACUUCAAUUACACAACCCUGCAUCCCCUCCCUGACCCGAGUAGUGCAGGGGAAUGUUGCAAUGUUGUGGGUGAAAGCUGCCUUCUGCCCUAAUUUUUGUAUAUAUAUUUUUUUCCUCCCAGGGAAAUGCAGGAUUGUUUGUGUAACUCCCACUCUACAGCAGAUAGCUUCUCUGUCACCAUGACUUCAAUGUGCACAGUCCAAGCAGUCACUUGUGAGCAAGGAGAGCAGGUAUUGGCACCUCCUCAUUAGCCUUCAUCAAUGAGAAUAUUGGCUAUGGUGUUGCGUGAGUGCCACUGGCUGACCAAUGGAGGGGCCCUACCCUGCUAAGCUGGAGCAACACUUUCUGAGUGGUGAUUUCAUUGCCUGGUUGCUGCAGUGAUUUGGAGCACAGCUGUGACGUUAUGCUUUUUCUGGCAAAAAUUUAGCUGAGGGGCCACUGUACCCUGUGGGAAUUGUACUACUUUUCUGUGGCAGUUUGGGAUAACUGAGGGCUUCCUUGGGAGUGUUGGACUUCUACCGCCACACGCUUUGGAUUGAAGAGUUACCAGAACGACAUCUGUGAGGUUUCCAAGCUAAACAAAACCUGAAUUUCUGGUGCAAAAAGCAAGUGAGUGAUAGAAACCUCUGCUCCUCUUCCAGCGGGGGGACACUGCAGCCUUUUAAGCUUUCCUAUUAUGCCAAAGAGGUAAAAAAGCAUAAGCAUGCAUUGUGUUAUGCAGUGCUAUUGGUGAUAUAAAAUGAAAGCCAAAGCUAGCCAAGAAACUGUUCUCCUUUCAAAUACAUCUCCACGCACAAGUACUUUUCUUCUUUGCCUUUCCCUGAAGUGAGAGAGCAAUAAGGGCACAAGCGUGCGCUCAGUCUGCUUCAUUUAGAACACAGUGAAGUGACUUCGGUGCCAACAUGAUGAAUCAAAAGCAUUGAAGAUAGCUGGCUUGCUAUUUAUUUUGCUCUGGGCAUGACAAUCAGAUGUGAUUGGGGAUGUGAAGAAGAGCAGCCUUCAACUCACAGAGUUGCACUGUUUUAAACCCUUGUCCUGUGACUUCUCCAGCGUGAUUUCUGUCAUUCCUGCUGGGCAUUGCACGUGGGCCUUUUCAUGGAGAGGUAACGCCCUGCAGCUGUGUGUUAAACAUGGCAACAUACAGGAUACAGUGAUCUCUCCACUCCCAGGAGCCUGGAAGACUGAAGCCCUCUGCCUAGAGGAUGAAAUGCUUCAUGUUUGGAAAAAAAACUAGCAGUGGCAUUAUUUUGCAGCAGCUCUCAUCCCCUGCGUUGUGUGGAUGAGAACAGCAUGGAGUCUGGCUGGGAGCAGUGCUUGAAAAGGAGUCAGAGAAUCCUGGUACAGCUGAUGCAGUGACUCAAAGGGACAGAGUUAACACAUCGUGAAGACUUGGAG
This is a long non-coding RNA of Gallus gallus (chicken), 2337 nucleotides long. RefSeq lists it as uncharacterized. The record is from RefSeq and is a predicted model, not a curated record. The transcript is spliced from 5 exons. NCBI's taxonomy places the organism in Eukaryota, Metazoa, Chordata, Aves, Galliformes, Phasianidae.